UUGGUUUAUUGUUUGUAAACAGAUCGUUAAAUAGGCUUAUUUAUACACAAAAGUUAUUUAUGCUUAGCCAUAAAUAUGAAUUUAUUUCCCAGUGUUAGAAUUGGUUCUGGGUUUUCACAUGGUAAACCUGGGGUUUGGCAGAGUUGUGUUGUUUUAAGUAACUUCCCUUUAUGCCAUAGGGCCACUUUGGAAAUGCCAACUCAGUUUUACCAGUUGUCUGCAAGAAGGAUGGGAAAUUUCGUUUUACACAUACAUUACUUGAUCUUCACUUUAAAUCAGUAGGCAAUAACAACUGAUUUCUUAAGUAAGAGAUAGUGUAAGUUGUUUCAGAAAAGGAUUAUGGUACAGGAGCUUAAACAUUUAAAAAUUUUUAUGUGGAUUCAUGGUUAGUUUUGAACGCAAGUAUCCCAGAUUCCAGAAAAUAUGUUACCUGAUACCUUUGGUAGUUGUGCAGUGAAUAGGGGACAAUGGCUACCUUUUUGGCACUGGCAAAAAGGAGAGAUUUCUAGAAAUAGGAUUUGGCCAAUUGGAUGGUUGGGCGCUUUUGUAAGAAAACUUGUCAUCCCAAUUAUCUGCUGUAGUCAGGAACUCAAAACUGAAAAACUCACGGAGUUCGUUUAUGCCUUGUGCGUUCCAUUUUACUCUUUUUUCCUGCUUUUUAUCAUGAUGAUGGUGUGGCUUUUUUUUUUUUUUGAGACCGUGUCUUUGGGUAGCUUUGGCUUAGAGCUCCCUUACCUAGACCAGACUGACGUCAAAUACACAAGAGAUCCUCCUACUUGUACCACCCGGCUGACAAAUCUAUUCAGUAGAAUUUUGUCUAGAGGAUAAAGGACGCAGACUAACUCCGCGCAAACCGGAAACACUCGUUCCUCUCUGAAGUAGGCGUUUCAGCAGUGGGCGGAAACAGAACUACUACAGGCUACGCGUGUCUUCAGCGGAAGCUGCCCGGUCACAAAAAGUACACAAGCGACAAUCCUCUUGGGUGGAAACCGAAACUCAACAGCCAGGCGCUUUGCUUGCCCCGCCUACCCCUGCAGUUCCGGUUCCGACUGCCCGGAGCUCCACCCUAGCAAGGAAAGUCGUCCCGUGCGCGCCGCUUGCUGCCCAGUGCCGCGUGGGAAAGGCGGGGCUUUACGUCAUCUCCAGCGCGCCGCAGACGUCACCGCUGUGGCUGGGAAGCCAGGCGUGGCCGCGGGCCUGCGCAUGCGCACAUCUUCCGUGGGCCCCCUGGACUCCUUACCGUUACCGGUCUGCAGCGCUGUUGCCAUGCUGUGUCGCCAGGGUGCCGGGUGUCUCAGGUCACUGCCCACCUUGCGGCUGCGGGCGCGGGGACUGCAGCCCGGCCGGAGUAGCUUGCGGCUCCAGGCCCUCCCGGUGUGGGCGGCUGCGUCGGUGUCGGCUGCCGCUCCAGGCGGAUGGUACGAGGCCCUGGCAGCGUCGGCACCUGUGCGCGCCGCGGAGGAAGUGCUGCUGGGCGCGCAGGCAGCCACGGGGCUCCCCUGGUGGGGCAGCAUCAUGCUCACCACCGUGGCCCUGCGCGGCGCCGUCACGUUGCCCCUGGCGGCCUAUCAGCACUACAUCCUGGCCAAGGUGGAAAACUUGCAACCAGAGAUAAAAAGCAUCGCCAAGCGCCUUAACCAAGAAGUUGCCGUUUGUGCGCAUCAGUUUGGUUGGUCCAAAAGAGUUGCCAGGCUCACCUAUCUAAAGAACAUGAGGAGGCUUGUGUCAGAGCUGUAUGUGCGUGACAACUGCCAUCCCUUCAAAGCCACCGUGUUGGUAUGGGUCCAGCUUCCAAUGUGGGUCUUCAUAUCCGUUGCCCUCCGGAACUUCAGCACAGGGGCAGCACAUUCAGAAGCUGCUGUCUCUGUUCAGGAGCAGCUAGCGGCUGGCGGGGUCCUGUGGUUUCCUGACCUCACUGCAGUGGAUUCCACUUGGAUUCUGCCUGUCUCCGUUGGUGUUGUCAAUUUACUAAUAGUGGAGAUGUAUGUCACACACUUUGUGCGCGCUGUGUCCGUGCUGAUGAUCCCGAUCGCCGCCACAGUACCUUCUAUACGAACCUGAAGCAAGAGAAAUGACCAGUGCAAAGCCAGAUAGUAGUGACAGGAUUCAGACUUGGAGAGCUUCAUCCCAGGCAGGAUUCACCAGCCACAUGGUUUGCCUUCUGAGACCUGACUGCUUUCUGAUGCCCACACAGAGCUUGAGACACAUUCUCUAGUUCUCUACUGGCUGUGUUCCAGCCUCUUGGGCCUCUCCCAGAAUCUGCUGCUGCGCUCCCCGGGAUUCCGCCAUCUUUGCCGGAUACCAACAACCAAGUCGGAUUCAG
This is an RNA transcript of Myodes glareolus (Bank vole), 2323 nucleotides long. It is a transcript of the gene named cytochrome c oxidase assembly factor COX18, with no coding region annotated. NCBI's taxonomy places the organism in Eukaryota, Metazoa, Chordata, Mammalia, Rodentia, Cricetidae. The record is from RefSeq and is a predicted model, not a curated record.